This 1968-nucleotide long non-coding RNA is filed under the name Equus caballus (horse). RNAcentral describes it as "lncRNA (ENSECAG00000056466.1)". Lineage: Eukaryota; Metazoa; Chordata; Mammalia; Perissodactyla; Equidae. The record is from RNAcentral.
UAAAUACGUCAGAAUAUUAAUAUCGAGUAUCUGUUUGUAGGGAAACAGCUGGCAACUUUUGAGACCGAGUUAGCAUGAGAGACUUUAUGUCUAAACCACCCCCCACCCUCUGCUUAUUCUCGCCGUGCGCUUUGGAGAAACGCUUAGACCUGCACGUAGGCAAGCUAAUGAGUAACCAGUCAGCAACCAGUAGAGAGAAUGACUUGUUAGCAGAAGAUUUCAGGCCUCUGCCCAAACUCUUGCUUCUCUCCCUCAGAAGAAAACAACUAUGUUUUCUUAGAUUCCUCAGGAAUGUCACAUUCAGCAGAUCCAAAACUUUUGUCUACAGAGAGGCGCCCGGCGGUCUGCGGUCAUCCAAUACCUGGCACUCCUGAGUUCCCUCCCCGACCCCGUUGGCCUUAUAUAACUCAUUUCCAAAUCAGUUCCCCUCGCAGAUGGUUUUUUAGCAUAGUCCACCAUCUUUCAGUUAGCUAGCUCAUUGCUUAAGUGAAAUUUUCUCUCUCCACCGCCUUGCCUCUUGACAGAUUGGCUUUUGUCUUGCGGAGAGCAGGUUUCUUCCCUGGAGCCUCCAUGUCGACCAGGAUCUUGACCUGAAGGAAGAGGAUUCUGUACCUCUCCUAUCUCUGAACAGACAUAAUUGCCUUUUUUAAAAAAUGGCGUUUUUAAAUAGCAUGAAAAAAAUGGCAAUACCUCGACAAGGUCAAGUGACCCUAGGGACAGCCACAAGUUGGUGACACAAGAGUGUUGGUGGGCCUGGCGUAAGGAAGGGACUUUCAGCCAAAGCAAGGAGGGCGUGUGCUGCAUCAGAGCAGAGAGAAGCAGAACCAUGAUGGGGCAGGAGGGGAAUGGCACAGAACAGUAUCAGUGUAGAAGCAGUGGCCUGAGGCUCUGAAGACAGCACAGCAGCACUCAAUGGGCCACCGUGCGCAGAGCCCCUGCUGUAAUAAAAAUAAUGGCUACUGUUUACUGACGUCUUCCUAGUGCCCAUCCUUGUGUUUUUUCCUGUCUGAAUUCCUCACCACCCUCUUUGAGUGAAGAAGUUAAAUCCUCUUUGCAGACAGGAGGAGACUAUGCCUCAGAAAGGCUAAGUGAUUUUUCCAGAGUCACAGAGAUGGUUAGUUGCAGCACUGGGAUUUUCAAGAAGGUGCGCCAGCUUCGUGGGCCCAGGAUCCUGUGCAGUCACCAGGUCUAACGCUCUGCAGUCGCCAUCUUGAAAUCUUUAAUGAUUUUUGAACAAGGUUGCCUUGCACUGGGUCCCACAAAUGAUGCUGCUGGUCCUGUCUGGCUGGCAGGAGAAGGCUGGAAGAUGUCCGGUGGCACCAGCAGCUGCAGAAGCUCCUCCUACAGAGAUGAACGUGUCAACGACAACCAGUGCAGGGGCUUUUUCAAGUGUUGCGAGGUCCUGUGUAGGAGGAAAUGUGUUUAUCCCACAGCAGACAGAUUGAUGCCAGUGUGAUGAAGCUGAGGAUUCCUGGUGUCCAGGGAGUCCACUUCCCACACAAGCCUGAGGUAUCCGCAGUCCCCGCUGAAGCCUUGGUGCUGCCACGGAUGCUUCCUCUGUGCCCGGUCCUUUGUGUAUUCCUGGCACCCAGAAAAGGGCUGGGCACGGAAAAUGUGUUUUGACCAGAGAACAAAUAAAAGCACACGCUUCUGUCGGCAUACCUGGCGUCUGUGAUUCACAGAGUCUCGCCUGGUGGCUGGGAGUGGGUGGGGAGCGUGGAGACUCUCCCACAGCAUGAAUCCUCACACUCAUGGACAUGGUUUUUGUCUAAGCUAUAGAUCUAGAAUUCAAAUUGCUUCUAGGUUUUUCCUUCAGGCAAGGCUAAGUUGUUCUUGUAGAAAAAACCGAGGAACUCUGCCAAAUAGAUGGACCAAGUUACCCUCUUACCUGCAGUGUAUAUGGGUCUCUGUUUCCCUGUAACUUAAUCAAUAAUGUGUUUCUGACUUUAAAAUCCUUCUCAAGCCGGU